This 1471-nucleotide ribosomal RNA is filed under the name Acinetobacter sp. 3JJ_W5-01. RNAcentral describes it as "bacterial SSU rRNA". It matches the Rfam family "Bacterial small subunit ribosomal RNA". The record is from RNAcentral. Lineage: Bacteria; Pseudomonadati; Pseudomonadota; Gammaproteobacteria; Moraxellales; Moraxellaceae.
CUCAGAUUGAACGCUGGCGGCAGGCUUAACACAUGCAAGUCGAGCGGAGAGAGGUAGCUUGCUACUGAUCUUAGCGGCGGACGGGUGAGUAAUGCUUAGGAAUCUGCCUAUUAGUGGGGGACAACAUCUCGAAAGGGAUGCUAAUACCGCAUACGUCCUACGGGAGAAAGCAGGGGAUCUUCGGACCUUGCGCUAAUAGAUGAGCCUAAGUCGGAUUAGCUAGUUGGUGGGGUAAAGGCCUACCAAGGCGACGAUCUGUAGCGGGUCUGAGAGGAUGAUCCGCCACACUGGGACUGAGACACGGCCCAGACUCCUACGGGAGGCAGCAGUGGGGAAUAUUGGACAAUGGGGGGAACCCUGAUCCAGCCAUGCCGCGUGUGUGAAGAAGGCCUUAUGGUUGUAAAGCACUUUAAGCGAGGAGGAGGCUACUUUAGUUAAUACCUAGAGAUAGUGGACGUUACUCGCAGAAUAAGCACCGGCUAACUCUGUGCCAGCAGCCGCGGUAAUACAGAGGGUGCAAGCGUUAAUCGGAUUUACUGGGCGUAAAGCGCGCGUAGGCGGCUAAUUAAGUCAAAUGUGAAAUCCCCGAGCUUAACUUGGGAAUUGCAUUCGAUACUGGUUAGCUAGAGUGUGGGAGAGGAUGGUAGAAUUCCAGGUGUAGCGGUGAAAUGCGUAGAGAUCUGGAGGAAUACCGAUGGCGAAGGCAGCCAUCUGGCCUAACACUGACGCUGAGGUGCGAAAGCAUGGGGAGCAAACAGGAUUAGAUACCCUGGUAGUCCAUGCCGUAAACGAUGUCUACUAGCCGUUGGGGCCUUUGAGGCUUUAGUGGCGCAGCUAACGCGAUAAGUAGACCGCCUGGGGAGUACGGUCGCAAGACUAAAACUCAAAUGAAUUGACGGGGGCCCGCACAAGCGGUGGAGCAUGUGGUUUAAUUCGAUGCAACGCGAAGAACCUUACCUGGCCUUGACAUAGUAAGAACUUUCCAGAGAUGGAUUGGUGCCUUCGGGAACUUACAUACAGGUGCUGCAUGGCUGUCGUCAGCUCGUGUCGUGAGAUGUUGGGUUAAGUCCCGCAACGAGCGCAACCCUUUUCCUUAUUUGCCAGCGAGUAAUGUCGGGAACUUUAAGGAUACUGCCAGUGACAAACUGGAGGAAGGCGGGGACGACGUCAAGUCAUCAUGGCCCUUACGGCCAGGGCUACACACGUGCUACAAUGGUCGGUACAAAGGGUUGCUACACAGCGAUGUGAUGCUAAUCUCAAAAAGCCGAUCGUAGUCCGGAUUGGAGUCUGCAACUCGACUCCAUGAAGUCGGAAUCGCUAGUAAUCGCGGAUCAGAAUGCCGCGGUGAAUACGUUCCCGGGGCCUUGUACACACCGCCCGUCACACCAUGGGGAGUUUGUUGCACCAGAAGUAGCUAGCCUAACUGCAAAGAGGGCGGUUACCACGGUGUGGCCGAUGACUGGGGUGAGCA